AAGCGCUCGUGGAUUUGCGCAGCUUUCACUGUGUGCGCGCAGGCACACACGCACGGGACAUAACAGAUAAAAUAGCGCACGCAGGCCCACAGACUCGCCCUUUAUCCGCAGAUGCUGCGCCGCGCUUACCGCCUGCUGGGCUCCACAAAUCGAUACACGGACGGGUCCGGGCGGGCGCUGGAACCAAACUCGAUUCCUCGCGACCUCUAUGUCCAGACAAUCAGCAACCGCGCCUACCCUGUGCAAGGCGAGUACUGGCAGCCGGUGACGGCUGGCAAGCCGUCUCCGCACAAGGGCAAUGUCAUCAUAUCCGGCGCUGGCGUCGUCGGCCUCACUAUGUCGGCCCAGUUCGCUCUGCGUGGAUGGCACACAACAGUGAUCGAGCGCAGCCCACCCCUGCAGCAAGUGAAGGAUAAGCCGAUGCAGACUGCGGCGGCAGCGAGCGAUGCGUCCGCUGGUGCGGUGGACCUCACCGUUAGUCCAUCUCCGCCGUCCCCGCCGCUCUCCCUCCAGCCCUAUCGUGGACCACUCCGGCGCCCUCACUUCGGCGCAGCAUCUGAGCAGAGCAGUAGCAUCAGCGCCGGCAGCCGUGAUGACGAUGGAAUGGCUGGUGUUGCUUCCUCCUCCGGCUUGGCAGAGUCGUCCUCGCCAUCGCGGUACAGUCCAUUCAUCGAGCUGCAGUACGCACUGGUAACACGCCGCGCCUUGGACGCACUAGAGGCGGCGGGGGUGCGACUCCACGCCAUCCGCGACUUGGGCGUCAAGGUGCGCGGCGUGAUGGACCACCCCGGGGCCUACAACAGCUGGAUCACUGCCGGCCUCACCGAGCACCACCCGUUCGCAGUCAACAUGCUCUCGAUGGAUUUGUUCCAGCUGCGCCGUCUACUGGAGGAGCAUGUUGCGCACAGUCUGCCGUCAGCGAACCUGCAGGUCUUUUACGAACACGUCAUCGAGGCAGUCUACCCUCUGCGUCAGCAACUUGUAGUGUGUCCGUGGGAGAACAGCACUUUGGCGAGGCAGUGGGCGGAGUCCUCCGUCGGCUCUUCGACCUCAUCCCCUACCGAGGAGGGUCGCACCGCGCAGCUUGUCGCUGAGGUCCGCCAACCUCGGCGCCAGCCACACACCAGCCUCACUCUCAGUGCCCGGAAGUGGGAGAAGAAGUACGCAGACGACGCUGUAGACUACGACUUGCUUGUGUCGGCCGAAGGCGUGAGCUCACACCUGCGAGACCUCGUGGAUGUGGAGGGAUUCGUGGCGGAUGUGGACAUGGGUGUGCGCUGGUGUCUCCUCCGUAGCGACCAGCUCAGCCACGAACACGUGCACCGCUGGUUGCACCGUCGCCGCACGACGGCCAUCACGUCGGCGCAAUCCUACCACGUCCAGACGGCGCACCAGGUGCCACUCACCCUCGCCUUUCCGCGUAUCGAGGGGAGCAACCUCUUCUCCGUCAUGGUGUACGCCCCGCAGGGUGAGUUGGCGGGCCUCGACGACGUCGAGAUGCUCCGGUACUACCUGCCGGACCUCGCCUCCUCUUCCUCCUCGUCUCCAGCGGCUGCUGAGUUGCGCUCCUUCGUCACCGACGCACAGGCCUACCCCACUGUCUACUGCGAGCAGCUGUACAACACAGUGGGGCUUCCUUCCGCCGUGCUGGUGGGCGAUGCGGCGCACACGUGUAAUCCCUUCUGGAUGCAGAGCCUCGCCCUCGGCCUCGAGGAUGGUGCGAACCUGCUGAAUCAGGUGGACGCCUACUCCCGACACUUCUACGACGCCGUGAAGCAGUACAGCAACGAGCGUGGCAGCAGCGGCGACGCGCUGCGUGAGCUGACGGACAAGUGCCUCUACUACGAGCGCCGGAAGCACGUGAGCCCGUUCAUUCGCUUCCAGAAUUCGUACCAGCACUUCAUGAAUGUCUGUAUGCCGCGUGGCUGGAACACACUCUACGAAGGCUCCGUCAACCACGUCUACUCGCGCAGCAUCGAAGAUAUGCUAAACAGCCGCGGCUACACCUCGUACGACUACGCCGAAAAGCAGCAGGCGAAGCACCGCCUCUUUUACCAUCUUGGACGGUUGUACACGUGAGAGGAGACGCGCCUGUGCGUGGGCUCUCGCUCGCCCUCCCAUCUUUCUUCGCUGCCGCACCCCAUGUUGCGUCAUCACACCGGAGAGAGACGGAGACGGAGAUGGUGAAAGGGAAAUGGUUCGAAAAAGGAGAGGGAGAUGCAACUGCUGGCAAUGGGUUGUCGACCCUGUCGCCUUAGCCUUCUCUUUUGGGGGAGGGCGUGUGAAGGGCAGCCCACUCGGGAAUUAUCGGUUGUCGUUGUUGCGGACGUGCGCCUCUCCCUCUCCUCUCUGGCUGCUUCCCGUGCCCUCUUUCCCUUUCUGUCGCUCGCAGUGGUUUUGCUGAUUCAAGCAGAUGGACAAAGUCAUUUGACGCAAGCGCAUACGUCCCAUACAUAGGCGCACGAGUGCGUGGAUGCAUGUAACACAUAUGCAUGUGUGUGUGUGUGUCGCUGUUGGUGUGUACGAGAUCGGCAUGUGGUGAUCUCAGGAUCCCCCCCCCUGCUCUCUCCUCCUCAGUAGAGGCACACUCGAUACUGGCGGCAGCACACCUACACGCUGCGGCCUAUGGCUGUGAGAAGCACCUCCUCUCCCCCCUUUCCUUGGUCGCAGCAAGCCAUCGCCUGUGCUUGCUUUGAUAACGGCAUACGGGAGUGUAUGAGGCAUGCGACAGCCAGAGCCACACAAGUGCAUCACGAGCACGGCAGACUUUUUUUUUGCCCCUCCCCCCCCCCCACUGCUGCUGCUGCUUUCCGUCUCCGCCUCCAUUCCCUCACACCCUCCAG
Molecule: unclassified non-coding RNA, 2843 nt
Filed under: Leishmania donovani
Lineage: Eukaryota; Euglenozoa; Kinetoplastea; Trypanosomatida; Trypanosomatidae
Description: gene:LdHU3.15.0950(CDS-product:flavoprotein_monoo xygenase_putative)
Source: RNAcentral